RNAcentral lists this ribosomal RNA (484 nucleotides) under uncultured bacterium. Its description in RNAcentral is "partial 16S ribosomal RNA". It matches the Rfam family "Bacterial small subunit ribosomal RNA", at positions 30 to 507 of the family's 1533-position model. The record is from RNAcentral.
AUUGAACGCUGGCGGCAGGCCUAACACAUGCAAGUCGAGCGGAUGAAGGGAGCUUGCUCCUGGAUUCAGCGGCGGACGGGUGAGUAAUGCCUAGGAAUCUGCCUGGUAGUGGGGGAUAACGUCCGGAAACGGGCGCUAAUACCGCAUACGUCCUGAGGGAGAAAGUGGGGGAUCUUCGGACCUCACGCUAUCAGAUGAGCCUAGGUCGGAUUAGCUAGUUGGUGGGGUAAAGGCCUACCAAGGCGACGAUCCGUAACUGGUCUGAGAGGAUGAUCAGUCACACGGGAACUGGAACAAGGUCCAGACUCCUACGGGAGGCAGCAGUGGGGAAUAUUGGACAAUGGGCGAAAGCCUGAUCCAGCCAUGCCGCGUGUGUGAAGAAGGUCUUCGGAUUGUAAAGCACUUUAAGUUGGGAGGAAGGGCAGUAAGUUAAUACCUUGCUGUUUUGACGUUACCAACAGAAUAAGCACCGGCUAACUUCGUG